Molecule: ribosomal RNA, 451 nt
Filed under: uncultured bacterium
Lineage: Bacteria
Description: partial 16S ribosomal RNA
Rfam family: Bacterial small subunit ribosomal RNA
Source: RNAcentral
GUGGGGAAUAUUGGACAAUGGGCGCAAGCCUGAUCCAGCCAUGCCGCGUGUGUGAAGAAGGCCUUUUGGUUGUAAAGCACUUUAAGCGAGGAGGAGGCUACUUGGAUUAAUACUCUAGGAUAGUGGACGUUACUCGCAGAAUAAGCACCGGCUAACUCUGUGCCAGCAGCCGCGGUAAUACAGAGGGUGCGAGCGUUAAUCGGAUUUACUGGGCGUAAAGCGUGCGUAGGCGGCUUCUUAAGUCGGAUGUGAAAUCCCUGAGCUUAACUUAGGAAUUGCAUUCGAUACUGGGAAGCUAGAGUAUGGGAGAGGAUGGUAGAAUUCCAGGUGUAGCGGUGAAAUGCGUAGAGAUCUGGAGGAAUACCGAUGGCGAAGGCAGCCAUCUGGCCUAAUACUGACGCUGAGGUACGAAAGCAUGGGGAGCAAACAGGAUUAGAUACCCGAGUAGUCC